UCCCAGCAAGUGUCCAUCCAUCU
This 23-nucleotide microRNA is filed under the name Sus scrofa (pig). RNAcentral's name for it is "ssc-miR-7138-5p". Lineage: Eukaryota; Metazoa; Chordata; Mammalia; Artiodactyla; Suidae. The record is from miRBase by way of RNAcentral.